Molecule: transfer RNA, 73 nt
Filed under: Stegodyphus mimosarum
Lineage: Eukaryota; Metazoa; Arthropoda; Arachnida; Araneae; Eresidae
Rfam family: tRNA
About the family: Transfer RNA (tRNA) molecules are approximately 80 nucleotides in length.
Source: Rfam by way of RNAcentral
GCCUUCGUGGUGUAGUGGUCAGCGCGCUCGGCGCGUAUUCGAGAGGUCCAUGGUUCGAGUCCCGGCAAGGGCA